This 253-nucleotide ribosomal RNA is filed under the name uncultured bacterium. RNAcentral describes it as "partial 16S ribosomal RNA". It matches the Rfam family "Bacterial small subunit ribosomal RNA", at positions 524 to 776 of the family's 1533-position model. The record is from RNAcentral.
UACGUAGGGUGCGAGCGUUAAUCGGAAUUACUGGGCGUAAAGCGUGCGUAGGCGGUUCGUUAUGUCUGCUGUGAAAGCCCCGGGCUUAACCUGGGAAUGGCAGUGGAAACUGGCGGGCUUGAGUGUGGCAGAGGGGGGUAGAAUUCCACGUGUAGCAGUGAAAUGCGUAGAGAUGUGGAGGAAUACCGAUGGCGAAGGCAGCCCCCUGGGCCAAUACUGACGCUCAUGCACGAAAGCGUGGGGAGCAAACAGG